UGUUUAACAAAAAGUAAAUGUAUAUAAAGGUUAUAUACCAGUCUAUUACUUGUGCUAGAACCUACCUGUCAAUGCAGCUACGUUCCAAAUUGUCAUUAUUGAUAAACAAAUAUCAGAUAAUUCUUUCAAUAAAAAUGCAAACUGCUCGGUUUAUUGCCGUAAUUAACCUUUCAAUAGUCUUGCAAUUGUAGUAUUGCUGGUGUUAAAAGAGAAGUGGAAUACGUAUGUGAGAACAAUG
Molecule: non-coding RNA, 238 nt
Organism: Schizosaccharomyces pombe (fission yeast)
Lineage: Eukaryota; Fungi; Ascomycota; Schizosaccharomycetes; Schizosaccharomycetales; Schizosaccharomycetaceae
Source: the annotation of a GenBank genome assembly